GUGAGUCUCUCUCUUUUUCGCGGCUGCAGCAAGAUGGUGGAGGUUGUUCUGGGCGCGUCCGUUCUGUAUCCAUCGGCAUCCUCCAUCGUGGAGCCUCGGGCUGAUUCACCGGCGGCUGGAUGUGACUGCCGCGGCUCCUGCGAGUGAACUUUCGCCAAGAUGUCGUUGAACGAGGUUGGAAUCUGAACAGGAGUUGAGUGCUUGCCUGCUGCAGUCACAGGUUGGAAUUUAAAUGAGAGAUGGAAGAGAUUUCUUGUCUUGCAGUUUUGCAGGCUUUCCAGUUGUGGGCCAGUGGUGACACCAGGACAUGAUGUCUGGAACGCCCCCAAAUUGAACCUUUGGAUGAAACUUGUAUUAUGGCAUUAUUCAAUGUGUUGAAUUACUUGUUGAUUAAAAUCACUGAAUUCUG
Molecule: non-coding RNA, 409 nt
Organism: Chiloscyllium plagiosum (whitespotted bambooshark)
Lineage: Eukaryota; Metazoa; Chordata; Chondrichthyes; Orectolobiformes; Hemiscylliidae
Source: RefSeq, a predicted model, not a curated record